This 212-nucleotide long non-coding RNA is filed under the name Carica papaya (papaya). RNAcentral describes it as "long non-coding RNA (CPAP_LNC008289)". Lineage: Eukaryota; Viridiplantae; Streptophyta; Magnoliopsida; Brassicales; Caricaceae. The record is from RNAcentral.
AAAUAAGUAGAAAAGAAAUGUCAUGAUGAGAAAGGACAUAAGCACUUAAAUAAGACAAAUGAGUCAAAUAAAAAUCUAAGCAUAGAAUUUAGGAUACAAAUACAAUAAUAAUAUCAAGUACUCAUCAAAUAAAAGUUCAAAUGCGUCAGAAUGGUAUGGUUGAAAUUCAACGGUGGGUUAACCCUGCUAAUGGGUGCAUUAAAGCCUUUCUU